This 22-nucleotide microRNA is filed under the name Strongylocentrotus purpuratus (purple sea urchin). RNAcentral describes it as "spu-miR-34". Its record names the gene spu-miR-34. Lineage: Eukaryota; Metazoa; Echinodermata; Echinoidea; Camarodonta; Strongylocentrotidae. The record is from miRBase by way of RNAcentral.
CGGCAGUGUAGUUAGCUGGUUG